This 73-nucleotide transfer RNA is filed under the name Deltaproteobacteria bacterium. RNAcentral's name for it is "tRNA-Met". It matches the Rfam family "tRNA". Rfam says of the family: Transfer RNA (tRNA) molecules are approximately 80 nucleotides in length. Their secondary structure includes four short double-helical elements and three loops (D, anti-codon, and T loops). Lineage: Bacteria; Pseudomonadati; Myxococcota; Myxococcia. The record is from RNAcentral.
GGCAGCGUAGCUCAGUUGGUAGAGCAAGCGGUUCAUACCCGCUCUGUCAGAGGUUCGAAUCCUCUCGCUGCCA